AACGAUGACGACGACGACGACGACGAUGACGACGACGACAACGACGACGACGACGAUGACGACGACGACGAGCACAAGCAUGCACAGCUCUGAUGAGCAAGAUAAGCAAAUCACGACAAUAUCCUCCUGGCACGAGCCGAAAGGCUCGCCGAAAAUCAGUCCCGGAACAGGUGACGACGGCAAGGUCAAGUCCACAGCGAUGUCGCGGCUACUAGCCGUCGAUUCCGACAACUACAUGCUACGCAAAGGCACCGCGACGAUGACGACGACGGCAACUAUUGGAGCCACGGCUUCACCUUCCGCUACCUCCUCGUCCUCGUGCCCGUCGUCAUCGUCAACGUUGAACGGUUCCGCGAGCGUGCAGAUGCAACGGCAGAUACAGAGCCUCGCUAUUGGAUCGACCAAUGUCCCGCCGAUCCUGGCGACGUACAGCAACGGCGGCGACCAUGUCGUCGGUCAAUUGUACGAUGUCGCGCGGGCGACAUCCAGAUCAGCGGCGACAUACGCAUCGUCCAGAUGGUAUACCGCCGGCAAUAAUAACCAAGCGACGAGGCAGCAUUGUGAAGGAGCGGCAGUGACGGUAGCGCAACUCGAGGAGCAGUCCUUACAGCAAUCGCAGCUACAAUCGCGUACAGCGACUACAACGACGACGACGACGACGACGCUUGCAGCGUCAGUAGACGGCUUCGAGAGCGAGCUCGGUUUCGCGAAGUUGGUGUGCGCGAGACCGGUGUCUUUUCAUCGGUAUUUGUGUUGGUGCGGCGUGCAGCAGCAGUCCGCCGUGGCGGAGGACAUCGACGCGAACUCGAUCGGUGGCGGUCGCACGAAGGGUGGCAGGGGCGCAGUUACUCAUGAGGGAGAGUUAGCCGCGAGACGAACGAUGCGCGAUGAUAGUAAUAGUAGUAAUAGUGGUAGUCUAUGCUGCUGCAUGUGCGGUUCUCUAUGUCCCGCAGAGUGCCACGCGUGCUUCCACAUCGUGUGCUCGGACUACAGCGGCCAGCAUCUGUGCCAAUGGACUACCAAGGGUCACGCGUUACCAGGCCAGGUUCACGACAAGAACAAGCCCGUCAGUGAAUGGACAUUAUUGAACGUAGUUGAAUGGAUGUCAGCCCUAAAUCUGUACCGCUAUGUGGACGUCUUUAAGUCGAAGGGCAUCACAGGCAGCGAUCUACUUCAUUUGGAUCAGGAGAAGCUCAUGAAUAUGGGUAUAAAAGAUGAAUUCCAUCAGAGAAACAUUUUGGUGUGCAUUGAGGAACUCUGUCAGCCAUCGCCGCCGCCGCCGCCACCGCCACCGGUGGCGACGGAGACGACGGGCCUGGCGUUCAACACAACGAUGCCAACGUCCGGCGUCACCGUUGAAUCGGGCUGUCCCCUCGGAAUCAACUAUCCGAACAACAACAUGACCAAUAACGCGCACAAUCUCAUACCGCACAGCUUCAGCGUUUUGGAGAAGUGUGGCAAAUGCCAUAAAUAUCUCAGGGGUCUCUUACAUCAGGGCUUUCUCUGCCAAGAUUGCGGGCUGGUCGCUCACAGGACGUGUUCAGCAACGGGUUUGCCUUCCAAUUGCAUAUCGGUCGACUCGGACAAUCGUAUCAGCAGGUUUGCUUCAGUGUUUGGCCUCGCGUUGUGCUCGCAAUUCGACACCGCCAGCCGCGCGGCACCGAUCCCGGUGGAGCGAUGCACCCGCGCCCUCGAGGAGCGAGCAUUCGCCGACACGACGCUGGACCUCUAUAAAGUCUACCACAGCAGCCCGCCUAAUGAGCAGACCCUUGAGCUGCGACAAAAGCUGAACGAAGAUGUUUGCAACGCGGACUUAGACCCGUACACUCCACAGUGCAUCGCGAGUGUUCUGAAGAAGUUUCUGCGAGAACUGCCAGAUCCAGUGAUACCCGUGCAAUUGUACGACAGAUUUCUCGAAGCGUCCAGUAUGAGAAACGAUGAGCAAUGCGCGACGCGCCUCAAUCAAUUAGUAGCAGAGUUACCGGAACAUCAUCGUAGCACACUGUGCCAUUUGAUGGCGCAUUUCUGUCGCAUCUGCCAAUUGCAGCACGGAAGGGGUUACACGGAACCACCGACCAUCCUCGUGCAAGUGCUCUGCCACAUAUUUCUCAGGCCGCCCUGGGAGCGAAUCAUCCAAGUUGUUCACAAUACGGAAGCACACAUACGCAUAAUGGAAUUGCUGUUGCUACAUGGCGAUUGGAAUGAAAGGUUGCCAGAGUUUGCCAGCCCUCCUCAAUUGCCCCCGCGUAAAGUUUCGAGACCACAGUUUCCAAUUUUGGAUCCAUUCCCGGCUCUCGAAGACGAAGCAGUAGACCGAACGGCACCUGGCGCAGAUACUGGAAAGGACCAACAACCGCACAGGCCACGCACGCUUCAAGAAGCCGAAUGGUAUUGGGGUGACAUCACGAGGGACGAAGUAAAUGAGAUGAUGAUUGACUCGCCGGAUGGUACUUUCUUGGUACGCAACGCGUCUUCUAAGGGCGGUGAAUACACCUUGACAUUGCGCAAAGGCGGGACCAACAAGCUCAUCAAGAUCAGCCAUCGAAACGGAAAGUACGGGUUCUCGGAUCCUUACAACUUCCACUCGGUCAUCGAAUUGGUUGAUUAUUAUAGGAACUGCUCGCUCGCGCAGUACAACUCCGUAUUGGACAUUAAAUUGCUCUACCCGGUGUCGCGAUUUCAGCAGGAUGAUGAGAUCGCAAAUACGACCGACAUGGCAAAGGUCGAGCAGAAGCACAAGGAGCUGGAGAAUGAAUUGAUUGAAACAAUUCGGCAAUAUCAAAACUAUUCCGAGAUGUAUACUAAAACGGCCUAUGAGGUGCAGCUGAAGCGUCAGGCGUUGGAAGCCUUCACAGAAGCCAUUAAAAUGUUCGAAGAACAAAUGAAAUUGCAAGAAAGGUUCCAGAAGGAAGCUCAACCUCAUGAAAUUUCCACCUUGACGGACAAUGCGGAACUGCUGAAACGAAGACUAAAGGCCUUAGAGGAGAGCAAGGAGAACUUGGACGAUAAUUUGAAGCAACAGAUUGCUUAUUACAGGACUCUUGAGAGAGAAAUGUGCAGACUGAAGGGUGAUAUUGCUAUGCUCAUGCGGCAGAGGGAACGUCAUUCUUUGUGGUUAAAGAAAAACGAGAUGAAGCAAAACAAAGAGGAGGUGGACUUUGCGGUCCAUUCCGACGAGAAAACGUGGCUAUACCUGCAAGGUUCUCGUCCUGAUGCCGAUCACAUUCUGAAAGGUCGGCCCGACGGUACCUUCCUCGUCCGUCGAUCAAGGACGGGCCAGUACGCCCUCUCCAUAGUGUGUAACGGCACCGUGCAGCAUUGUAUAAUAUAUGCCACUGAACGUGGUUUUGGUUUUGCUGAACCUUACAAUAUCCACGAGAGCCUGAAGCAUCUAGUGUUACAUUACGCUCAGAACUCCCUGGAGGAGCACAACGAAUGCUUGACGACUACUUUGGCCUAUCCUGCGUUUGCGCCGUCUGCAGAGUUAGCACAACUACAGGCCCAGCAGAAACAAUUGCAAAUUCACAAUCAGAACCAACCACCGUUCGCGCGACUUCUUCACGAGAAUCAACUCGUCAUGCCGCAUACGUAAUAUUGGUGUGUCGAGCGUCGCGAUCAAGAUCCGGUUCAGAUUGGGUUCAAAUACGUUCAUACACGCCUGCACAUCCACACGUGACUUUUGCUGCUACAGGCAUCAUUCGUCGAUGGAUGGAUCGAUCGAUCGCAUCAUACAAUCAUCCAUUUUAAUGAUGCUUUGAACACGUUCCGGCGAGAUAAAAUGCUUCUUUUUUGGGACGUUUCCUAAAACUGCGUACAAUAAUUAUGCACUCGUGUCAUAAUCAGGGAAAACAACGUAGCGUGAAUUGGCAUCGUGAAAACACGCGCAAUCGAUCGGUUACUUAAUCAUCAUCAAACGUGUGCAUUCUCGUGAGCAGCAUAUCGAGUCGAUUUUUCUCGCUGGGGUAAGUCUUGAUUCUCAAUGAUAAUAAUAAACGGAAAGACUAGGGACACAAUAAAAAUUAAGGACAAAGAGCGAAGAAGAAUAAAUAAAAUUAUCUUUGUAAAGAAAAACAAGUAUGAAAAAAAUGCAAAUAUGUAAAUGAAACAUGUAAUCGAACGAUGCUACAAUAAUUUUUAUCUUACGAAGACUGCUCUUGCGUCAGGAUCAGUUGGAAAUGAAAUAUGAGAGAAUCAGAAUGUCAAUAUAGGAAAUGUUUAUUCCUAUUAUCUGUUUUUCAUUCUUUAUCGUUCAGUUGUACAUGUAUCAUUCGUUGCCCUUUUUCUACCAUUAUAUUUAUUUUUUCCUUUUUAUCCUGAUGAUAUUUAUGUUGUGUCUUGAUAUGAUUUCCUAUUAAAUAAGAUGAGAAAAAUGUCCAAGUACAUUCCUGAGAAAUCUCACAUUUACAGAGCGGUCGGUAAAUGUAGAGAGUGUAACAGGAACGCAAUGAGAUUUUGCAUUGAGAUUGGUAGUUUUUCAAGUGUCUCCCGCGCCACUAUGAAGCAAAGAAACUGUUUAACGUAGGUGGUUAGCGUUUGAUCCAAAAGAGUAUAGUAAUGGCGAAUAAAUUGGAUAGCAGUCCAAGUGAAGCAUUUAUAAUGAAAACAAUAAACGCGAGCGAGCGAGGAAGAUCGACGAGGUGUGUUGUCCCUCUUUUCACCUUUUUUAAAAAAGAGCACAAAGCGACGAAUGCUGCGCUAGAUAGAUCUAA
This is a non-coding RNA of Linepithema humile (Argentine ant), 4709 nucleotides long. The record is from RefSeq and is a predicted model, not a curated record. Lineage: Eukaryota; Metazoa; Arthropoda; Insecta; Hymenoptera; Formicidae.